Long non-coding RNA from Argentina anserina (silverweed cinquefoil), 563 nucleotides. RefSeq lists it as uncharacterized. The transcript has 3 exons. NCBI's taxonomy places the organism in Eukaryota, Viridiplantae, Streptophyta, Magnoliopsida, Rosales, Rosaceae. The record is from RefSeq and is a predicted model, not a curated record.
CUCUCCAAGCCAUCUCCUCCACAUUUCAUAAACUAAUUUUUGUAAAAAACCUCUCCACCUCUGACUCUCUAUUCUCGAGUCUUUUGACUCCUCCCUGCAUUGCAAUUCCAUCAACCUUUGGCUUCUCCACAAAAUCAUAUCAAAGACCAAACCUUUAACCCAUCCCACGUAAUCUGACAUGUGAAUGGUGUUUUAUGGCUCACUCUGAUGUCCUGACAUUGCUGUUGGCUGUUGGAGUUUGGUGCUUUGCUUACAUCGCCGUUGCCGUCUUUGCCUCGUUUCGUGUCAUAAGCUAUGUUUGCAGAUGCGCGCUAUGAAUUUGGUGCUGAAUUGGAGAUGGGUUGUGGAGCAUUUGCAAUGCGUACAGUUCUUCUUGGCCCGAGGGGUUUCUCUAUGGAGAAGAUCCGGGAGGAGAUUCGACUAGUCACUAAUGGGAUUGAGAAUAUCACAGUUGCUAAAAGUUUCUUUUGUAAGAUCAUGCGAAGUCUGAUAAUGAAUUAAUUAAAAAUCAGGCAUUCAUGCCAAUGUGAAUAGUUAAUUAAAAAUGAGCUUGUUUUAAUCAA